Molecule: ribosomal RNA, 460 nt
Filed under: uncultured bacterium
Lineage: Bacteria
Description: bacterial SSU rRNA
Rfam family: Bacterial small subunit ribosomal RNA
Source: RNAcentral
AACGCUGGCGGCGUGCCUAACACAUGCAAGUCGAACGGACUAAAUGAAGCCUAGCGAUUUUAGUAGUGGCGGACGGGUGAGUAACGCGUGGGUAACCUGCCUCACGACUGGGGGAUAACAGUUAGAAAUGACUGCUAAUACCGCAUAAGCGCACAGUGCCGCAUGGUACAGUGUGAAAAACUCCGGUGGUGUGAGAUGGACCCGCGUCUGAUUAGCUAGUUGGUAGGGUAACGGCCUACCAAGGCGACGAUCAGUAGCCGGCCUGAGAGGGUGAACGGCCACAUUGGGACUGAGACACGGCCCAAACUCCUACGGGAGGCAGCAGUGGGGAAUAUUGCACAAUGGGGGAAACCCUGAUGCAGCGACGCCGCGUGAACGAUGAAGUAUUUCGGUAUGUAAAGUUCUAUCAGCAGGGAAGAUAAUGACGGUACCUGACUAAGAAGCACCGGCUAAAUACGUG